RNAcentral lists this ribosomal RNA (119 nucleotides) under Salmo salar (Atlantic salmon). Lineage: Eukaryota; Metazoa; Chordata; Actinopteri; Salmoniformes; Salmonidae. The record is from RNAcentral.
GCUUACGGCCAUACCAGCCUGGGUACGCCCGAUCUCGUCUGAUCUCUGAAGCUAAGCAGGGUCGGGCCUGGUUAGUACUUGGAUGUGAGACCGCCUGGAAAUACCAGGUGCUGUAAGCA